RNAcentral lists this ribosomal RNA (468 nucleotides) under uncultured bacterium. RNAcentral's name for it is "partial 16S ribosomal RNA". It matches the Rfam family "Bacterial small subunit ribosomal RNA", at positions 28 to 507 of the family's 1533-position model. The record is from RNAcentral.
GACGAACGCUGGCGGCGUGCUUAACACAUGCAAGUCGAACGGAAAGGCCCUGCUUUUGUGGGGUGCUCGAGUGGCGAACGGGUGAGUAACACGUGAGUAACCUGCCCUUGACUUUGGGAUAACUUCAGGAAACUGGGGCUAAUACCGGAUAGGAGCUCCUGCUGCAUGGUGGGGGUUGGAAAGUUUCGGCGGUUGGGGAUGGACUCGCGGCUUAUCAGCUUGUUGGUGGGGUAGUGGCUUACCAAGGCUUUGACGGGUAGCCGGCCUGAGAGGGUGACCGGCCACAUUGGGACUGAGAUACGGCCAAGACUCCUACGGGAGGCAGCAGUGGGGAAUAUUGCACAAUGGGCGGAAUCCUGUUGCAGCAACGCCGCGUGCGGGAUGGCGGCCUUCGGGUUGUAAACCGCUUUCGCCUGUGACGAAGCGUGAGUGACGGUAAUGGGUAAAGAAGCACCGCCUAACUACGUG